Silurus meridionalis is the source of this 86-nucleotide small nucleolar RNA. RefSeq annotates it as small nucleolar RNA SNORD35. Lineage: Eukaryota; Metazoa; Chordata; Actinopteri; Siluriformes; Siluridae. The transcript has a single exon. The record is from RefSeq and is a predicted model, not a curated record.
UGCAAAUGAUGUCUUUUCUCACGAUGGUCUUCCAAGCCUUUGGCGCUUUGACGACAUUGCCUUAAUGGCGACACUGAUGCAGUUUC